This 260-nucleotide ribosomal RNA is filed under the name uncultured bacterium. RNAcentral describes it as "partial 16S ribosomal RNA". It matches the Rfam family "Bacterial small subunit ribosomal RNA", at positions 94 to 354 of the family's 1533-position model. The record is from RNAcentral.
AGCGGCGGACGGGUGAGUAACGCGUGGAUAACCUGCCUUACACAGGGGGAUAACAGUUAGAAAUGACUGCUAAUACCGCAUAACCCGCUAGGGCCGCAUGGCCCGGACGGAAAAGAUUUAUCGGUGUAAGAUGGAUCCGCGUCUGAUUAGCUAGUUGGCGGGGUAAAGGCCCACCAAGGCGACGAUCAGUAGCCGACCUGAGAGGGUGAUCGGCCACAUUGGGACUGAGACACGGCCCAAACUCCUACGGGAGGCAGCAG